RNAcentral lists this long non-coding RNA (447 nucleotides) under Gallus gallus (chicken). Lineage: Eukaryota; Metazoa; Chordata; Aves; Galliformes; Phasianidae. The record is from RNAcentral.
GCCCAACUUGCUUUGCCCUCAGCCAGAGCACCUCCAUUCCACUGCUGCUCAGUGGGGCUGAGGGCAAACCCGCACAGUGAGGGAGUGCAGCAGGCAGACCUCUGCCUGGAGAGACUUUCACUCGCUCUGAGUCACACAACAGAGAGUCCCUUAAGCAGCAGCAAAAGGAGAGCUGUCAAAGCAGAAUGCGGCUGCGGCGGAGUUGGGUGUGUUACAUAUCCAUCACUUCUUCCUCCACCGUCUUGUCCUGAGAUUGCACAUACUUCUCCUGCACUGCAAGCGUGGAAGCAAAGUGGAAAUCUGCUCCCACUGCUGCUGACAUCAGAGCUUCCAGGCUCCUGUGCUCCUGGUCCCCAAAGGAACAGCCGUUGGCUUUGUCCACUGCCUGCAUCACCUGCCGCAUGCUGUCCUUAUCCUGGACGUUGAGCGGAACGAAGGACACCAGGC